Molecule: long non-coding RNA, 1076 nt
Organism: Vespa mandarinia (Asian giant hornet)
Lineage: Eukaryota; Metazoa; Arthropoda; Insecta; Hymenoptera; Vespidae
Source: RefSeq, a predicted model, not a curated record
AAUGGAGCUGUGUGCACACGCACGAUAUUGUUUUAAAAGCUCGUGAUUCGGAAAAUAGAAAAGGAAGUUGUACGAUAGAAAGAGAGAAAGAGUAGAGAAUGAGAGAUGACGUUGGUGGACCAAGCGAGAUUCGCUUCGCUUACGGAAGGCGUUUCACGAUUUCGUGCUGACCGUUCGUGGCCAGAGGUCAGAGUUCAAAUUCAACCAGACGAGAUAACAACUACGACGUCGAUAAAUCGUCGCUACGAAGAACGCCGAACCGUUCUCUCGUAACGGACAUUCUACAUCAUUUCGUUUGAAAAUAAAUGAAAGGAAACGGAGAGCAGAAGGACUAAGAACCGUCGGAUACGUCCGAUCCUUUAUCGUUAUUACCCUUCAACCGACUUAAAGGGCUAUAAACGACAACAUAUGGCACCCACAUGGACGCGAGAGCAACGUCUUGACAAAGGGAUCCUGCAGGACUUUGUCGCGACAUGCAAACCAACGGGUGUAUCUUUAUCCUUUCUUAUUUUUCUCUUCAUUGUCCACUUCUCGCCAUAAGAAGAUAACAAUAGGACGAAAUCUCAAGACGGCGCCAUCUUAAAUCACGACACCGACCGUGCCAGGAAGGAAAAAAGAAGGACGGAUGAAAUAGUCGUCGAGAGAAGACGAGAGAUCCUUAGAUGAGAUAUACGCGAACCCGCGUAAGAAAGUCGAAGACGCUCGACUCGAAUCGUCGAUCGGACAGACCGGAAGAGGGGUCCCCACCAUUUUCUUCCUUUUGCUAUCUCUCUCUAUCUCUAUCUCUCUAUCUCUCUCUCUCUCUCUGUCUUUCUUUCUUUUCUUUUCCUUUCUCUCCUUCUUGUUAGCCGCGCCGAGGCUCAUAGAAAAUUCUAUUAUUCUAUUCUUAUCAUCGACAGUGACGCGUGCUGCCUCGUAUCGACAGCCGGAUACAUAAUGCAACGUGAGUUUCCGAGCUUGCGCGUUCGUGCACCGGAUGCACCCACACCGAGCUUGCAUACUGAACGGGCCGGCUCUUUAAGGUCUUUCUAGAAAACGUGCUGGCUCGCGAACGCGGUUGAACGUCCUGGCCCAUC